UACAGAGGUCCCAAGCGUUGUUCGGAUUCACUGGGCGUAAAGGGUGCGUAGGUGGCGAGGUAAGUUCGAUGUGAAAUCUCCGAGCUCAACUCGGAAAUGGCAUUGAAUACUAUCCCGCUGGAGGGUCGGAGGGGAGACUGGAAUUCUCGGUGUAGCAGUGAAAUGCGUAGAUAUCUGGAGGAAUACCGGUGGCGAAGGCGGCAUCCUGGACCGACAUUGACGCUGAUGAGCGAAAGCUAGGGGAGCAAACGGG
RNAcentral lists this ribosomal RNA (253 nucleotides) under uncultured bacterium. Its description in RNAcentral is "partial 16S ribosomal RNA". It matches the Rfam family "Bacterial small subunit ribosomal RNA", at positions 524 to 776 of the family's 1533-position model. The record is from RNAcentral.